RNAcentral lists this ribosomal RNA (486 nucleotides) under uncultured bacterium. RNAcentral's name for it is "partial 16S ribosomal RNA". It matches the Rfam family "Bacterial small subunit ribosomal RNA", at positions 28 to 507 of the family's 1533-position model. The record is from RNAcentral.
GAUGAACGCUGGCGGCGUGCCUAAUACAUGCAAGUCGAACGCUGGAAAUCUAUCUUGCUAGAUGGAAGGAGUGGCGAAAGGGUGAGUAAUACAUAAGCAACCUACCCACGAAGACUGGGAUAAUCUCUGAAAACGGGGACUAAUGCCGGAUAUGUAAUCGGAAGGCAUCUUCUGAUUAUUAAAGGUUAAAAACACUGGUGGAUGGGCUUAUGGCGCAUUAGUUAGUUGGUGGGGUAACGGGCCACCAAGACGAUGAUGCGUAGCCGGCCUGAGAGGGUGAACGGGCAAAUUGGGACUGAGACAACGCCCAGAAUCCUACGGGAGGCAGCAGUAGGGGAUUUUCGGCAAUGGGGGAAAACCUGACCAAGCAACGCCGCGUGAGUGAUGACGGCCUUCGGGUUGUAAAGCUCUGUUGUAAGGGAAGAAAGGUAGAUAGAGAAUAUCUAAAUGACGGUACCUUACCAGAAAGCCACGGCUAACUACGUG